RNAcentral lists this ribosomal RNA (253 nucleotides) under uncultured bacterium. Its description in RNAcentral is "partial 16S ribosomal RNA". It matches the Rfam family "Bacterial small subunit ribosomal RNA", at positions 524 to 776 of the family's 1533-position model. The record is from RNAcentral.
GACGAACCGAGCGAACGUUGUUCGGAAUCACUGGGCGUAAAGCGCACGUAGGCGGAUUGUUAAGUCAGGGGUGAAAUCCUGGAGCUCAACUCCAGAACUGCCUUUGAUACUGGCGAUCUCGAGUCCGGGAGAGGUGAGUGGAACUGCGAGUGUAGAGGUGAAAUUCGUAGAUAUUCGCAAGAACACCAGUGGCGAAGGCGGCUCACUGGCCCGAUACUGACGCUGAGGCACGAAAGCGUGGGGAGCAAACAGG